Long non-coding RNA from Acyrthosiphon pisum (pea aphid), 1618 nucleotides. RefSeq lists it as uncharacterized. The record is from RefSeq and is a predicted model, not a curated record. Lineage: Eukaryota; Metazoa; Arthropoda; Insecta; Hemiptera; Aphididae. The transcript has 4 exons.
UAAUAUUGAUAAUAACCGGUGCGACUACAACAAACUGCAGUUUUGCAAUUAUAGAGAACUAUGACUUUUCAUCAACCAAAGUCGGCGCUGCGUAAAAAAAUAAUGUCGAAGAAUUGCUAUAAGUACUCAUUUUUUAUAGCUGUUGGAAGUGUGACUCUUGAAAAUAAAUAAUAUACGAUAAACAAAAAAGAAACCGUAAGAUUAUUUUACAUCACUUUGGUCUUUACGUCUGAAGAUUUGUCUCUACUCAUAAUAUUAUAGUAGGUACGAGGUACCUAUAUAAUAUAUUGUAUUGUACGAAAUCGGAGAAAUUUCCUUGUAUUGUAUUAUACAGACUAUUGUGAGUAGCCUGUAGCCCGUAAUGCAAUAUUAUGGUAUAUUGCAAGUUAAAAUGAUUAUAAUAUCUAUUAUCUAGGAGGCAUUAGAUGUUGCUUACUAUACUGCUGUAGUUGUUCUUCUAUGAAUGUUGAUAAACCAAAAGAUUCUGCAUAAUGUGAUAUUUGGAUGUAAUUCUGAACAUUGGAUGAGAUCAGACAAAGAAACUCUGAUUAGAACCCAUAAAUUAUGUUCUAAACAUUUCACGAAGAAUUUCACAAAAAAUCCAAAACAAAAUAGACUUGCCAAAUGCAAUUCUGACAUUGUUUGAAACAAUUUUCUAUUUAAACCGAAAAUUCAGCGCAUGUGUCUAAUUCUCAAUAUUCACACUUGAGUCGUAUCUGAAGUGUCGAUUGAAACCGUUUCUUCAGGUGCUCAAACUCCAAAUUCUUUAUCUGCCAAAUAUUUCCACAGAAUCGUUAAUUGCAAAAAAAACCUUUCCGAUUUUCUCAGCUCAAAUAAAGAAGUUUGAAAAACAAUAUUGGUGAAGAGACGUUCAGUAGAUACAACUGUUCUCAACCAUAGGGUCGCCAAAAAAUUAGUUAUAAUAAUAUUAUUAACAUAUUAAGUAAUAUGAGUAAAAAAAAAAUUAAUUAAUUAAGUGUAAUAGAGUUUCUUUUAUUUAUGGAAAUUGAUAAUAUUGGUCUUUAUGUAAAAACCUUUAUAACUGGUCAAGGAUUAUUUUGCCAAGAUUAUUUUCAACAUUUCCCUGGAGCAAAUUGUAUGGAGACCUUGAUCAAACUUUACAUAAAAUGAAUGACUAACCUCUAUUAAUAUUUUCAAUGUAAUAAGUCCUCAUCAACAAAAUAUUUUUAAAUUAUAUUCAAUUGUUGUACAGUAGAUUAUAGAUUAUAAGCAUUUAAGUAUAGUAGAAAACAUGCUUUCACAAUUUCACAUACGUAUGUGGAUAUUUAAUAAGUAUUAUUAUUAUUAUUAUUAAUAAUAUGUAAUAAGUUUGGAGAAACAUGUUUGUGAAAUUUGUAUCAAUUAUGCUAACUAUCUUAAAUUAUUAGACUGGUCUUUUUUACUAUCUUUCUUUAAAUCUUAUUCUUAUUCUAACAACUCAGCUUACUUAGUUAAUUAGUACACCCCAUGACAAUUUUCACUAUUAUUCUAUAGACUUAGAACAUAUUUUCUGGACAAUUUUUGCAAUAGAAGAUGUUGUUAUGCCUCAAUUAAAACAUUUUUUUUUAUUAAUUUUGUAAUAUUGUGUCAUUUAUGAAAUUAAUUUUAAUUUUUUACC